GUGGGGAAUAUUGGGCAAUGGGGGAAACCCUGACCCAGCAACGCCGCGUGAAGGAAGAAGGCUUUCGGGUUGUAAACUUCUUUUAUGAGGGAAGAUAAUGACGGUACCUCAUGAAUAAGCCACGGCUAACUACGUGCCAGCAGCCGCGGUAAUACGUAGGUGGCAAGCGUUGUCCGGAUUUACUGGGUGUAAAGGGCGUGUAGGCGGGACUGCAAGUCAGAUGUGAAAUUUCGGGGCUCAACCCCGAAACUGCAUUUGAAACUGUGGUUCUUGAGUAUCGGAGAGGCAGGCGGAAUUCCUAGUGUAGCGGUGAAAUGCGUAGAUAUUAGGAGGAACACCAGUGGCGAAGGCGGCCUGCUGGACGACAACUGACGCUGAGGCGCGAAAGCGUGGGGAGCAAACAGGAUUAGAAACCCCAGUAGUCC
RNAcentral lists this ribosomal RNA (425 nucleotides) under uncultured bacterium. RNAcentral describes it as "partial 16S ribosomal RNA". It matches the Rfam family "Bacterial small subunit ribosomal RNA", at positions 354 to 796 of the family's 1533-position model. The record is from RNAcentral.